GAUGAACGCUGGCGGCGUGCUUAACACGUGCAAGUCGAACGGUGAAGGCGGAGCUUGCUCUGCUGGAUCAGUGGCGAACGGGUGAGUAACACGUGAGCAAUCUGCCCCUGACUCUGGGAUAAGCGCUGGAAACGGCGUCUAAUACUGGAUACGAGCUGCGAAGGCAUCUUCAGCAGCUGGAAAGAAUUUCGGUCAGGGAUGAGCUCGCGGCCUAUCAGCUUGUUGGUGAGGUAAUGGCUCACCAAGGCGUCGACGGGUAGCCGGCCUGAGAGGGUGACCGGCCACACUGGGACUGAGACACGGCCCAGACUCCUACGGGAGGCAGCAGUGGGGAAUAUUGCACAAUGGGCGAAAGCCUGAUGCAGCAACGCCGCGUGAGGGACGACGGCCUUCGGGUUGUAAACCUCUUUUAGCAGGGAAGAAGCGAAAGUGACGGUACCUGCAGAAAAAGCGCCGGCUAACUACGUG
RNAcentral lists this ribosomal RNA (468 nucleotides) under uncultured bacterium. RNAcentral's name for it is "partial 16S ribosomal RNA". It matches the Rfam family "Bacterial small subunit ribosomal RNA", at positions 28 to 507 of the family's 1533-position model. The record is from RNAcentral.